This 935-nucleotide long non-coding RNA is filed under the name Capra hircus (goat). RNAcentral describes it as "lncRNA (ENSCHIG00010005496.1)". Lineage: Eukaryota; Metazoa; Chordata; Mammalia; Artiodactyla; Bovidae. The record is from RNAcentral.
GGUACCUACAAGGAGGGUGUCUCACCGAACGGUAGCUAAGACCUCACCACAACCGCGCGGGAGCGAGGAGUCGCGGCCAAAGGCGCCCGCCCGAGCCUCCGCUCUGGGCCGGACCCCAGCCCGAGCGGCCGAAAGAAGCCCCCCGCCCGGAUCGCAGGCUGCCAUGAAGAUGGAGAUCUAGGCAAACAUAGUGUUCUAGCACCUCUAAUGAUGGAAACAGACAUUUCAGAGGUACACAAUUAUUCUUCAGCAAACAAUAGUACAUUAGAGUGGAAACAUUGGAGUCAGUGAAAAGAGAGAACUCUUGCUCUAGUUCAUAUGGUGUUGUGAUCUUAAACCAGUUAUUAAUCUCUUCAGACCAAGUUUGCCUUUUCUAUAAAGUGGGUAUUAUAAUAACAGGGAGGGAUCCCUUAAGAAAUGGCUUUUAAAUAUUCUGUGGAAUAGCACAGAGUCUGCCCUUGUGUAAAUACUCAGUAAACUUUAUGUGUCGCUAUUAAUUUGUAGGAUGUUUUGAUGGCUUUAAGUAAAUAUAGGUUUUCUAUUUGAAAAGUUCUAUUUUUAGUAUGUUGUACUAAGGAGUGCUCUUUCACUCCUAUACUAAGGAGGAAAAUCUUUAAAAACAGAGAUGUAAUUCAGAAUAUUAUGAUUCUGUAAACUUGUUGACUUCAAAACAUGAAACUUGAAUAAUUUGGUUUCAUAUGUGGUAGAAAUAACCUAUAAACAAUAUUUUACAUUAACUAAAUGUUUCUUUCAUAGUUGGCAUCAGGUUCAGAUUUUUGAACUGGAAUGUGGUUACAAUGGUGAAUGAGAUAUUGUAUAUUUAAAAAUCUCGUCACUCUAUGGUAUGUUUAAUGACCAAAAUUAUGAUGUAAGACCAUUCAGUUAAAUAUUAAUUCCAUGCGACUAAUUUAAGAGCAAAAAGUUAGAAUGUGAUG